AAUUUCCUACGGGAGGCAGCAGUGGGGAAUAUUGGGCAAUGGGCGCAAGCCUGACCCAGCAACGCCGCGUGAAGGAAGAAGGCUUUCGGGUUGUAAACUUCUUUUCUCAGGGACGAAGCAAGUGACGGUACCUGAGGAAUAAGCCACGGCUAACUACGUGCCAGCAGCCGCGGUAAUACGUAGGUGGCAAGCGUUAUCCGGAUUUACUGGGUGUAAAGGGCGUGUAGGCGGGAACGCAAGUCAGAUGUGAAAACUCAGGGCUCAACCCUGAGCCGGCAUUUGAAACUGUGGUU
RNAcentral lists this ribosomal RNA (293 nucleotides) under uncultured bacterium. RNAcentral's name for it is "partial 16S ribosomal RNA". It matches the Rfam family "Bacterial small subunit ribosomal RNA", at positions 333 to 640 of the family's 1533-position model. The record is from RNAcentral.